Molecule: ribosomal RNA, 497 nt
Filed under: uncultured bacterium
Lineage: Bacteria
Description: partial 16S ribosomal RNA
Rfam family: Bacterial small subunit ribosomal RNA
Source: RNAcentral
GAUGAACGCUGGCGGCGUGCCUAAUACAUGCAAGUCGAGCGAACGGACGAGAAGCUUGCUUUUCUGAUGUUAGCGGCGGACGGGUGAGUAACACGUGGAUAACCUACCUAUAAGACUGGGAUAACUUCGUGAAACCGGAGCUAAUACCGGAUAAUAUUUUGAACCGCAUGGUUCAAAAGUGAAAGACGGUCUUGCUGUCACUUAUAGAUGUAUCCGCGCUGCAUUAGCUAGUUGGUAAGGUAACGGCUUACCAAGGCAACCAUGCAUAGCCGACCUGAGAGGGUGAUGGGGGACACUGGGACUGAGACACGGUCCAGAGUCCGACGGGAGGCAGCGGUAGGGAAUCUUGGGCAAUGGGCGAAAGCCUGACGGAGCAACGCCGCGUGAGUGAUGAAGGUCUUCGGAUCGUAAAACGCUGUUAGUGGGGAAGAACAUAUGUGUAAGUAACUGUGCACGUCUUGACGGUACCUAAUGAGAAAGCCACGGCUAACUACGUG